GCCAGACUCCUACGGGAGGCAGCAGUGGGGAAUAUUGCACAAUGGGGGGAACCCUGAUGCAGCAACGCCGCGUGGGUGAAGAAGUACUUCGGUAUGUAAAGCCCUCUCAGCAGGGAAGAAGAAAUGACGGUACCUGAGUAAGAAGCACCGGCUAAAUACGUGCCAGCAGCCGCGGUAAUACGUAUGGUGCAAGCGUUAUCCGGAUUUACUGGGUGUAAAGGGAGCGCAGGCGGCACAGCAAGCCUGAUGUGAAAGCCCGCGGCCCAACCGCGGGACUGCAUUGGGAACUACCGGGCUGGAGUGCCGGAGAGGUAGGCGGAAUUCCUAGUGUAGCGGUGAAAUGCGUAGAUAUUAGGAGGAACACCAGUGGCGAAGGCGGCUUACUGGACUGUAACUGACGUUGAGGCUCGAAAGCGUGGGGAGCAAACAGGAUUAGAUACCCCAGUAG
Molecule: ribosomal RNA, 448 nt
Filed under: uncultured bacterium
Lineage: Bacteria
Description: bacterial SSU rRNA
Rfam family: Bacterial small subunit ribosomal RNA
Source: RNAcentral